This 392-nucleotide unclassified non-coding RNA is filed under the name soil metagenome. RNAcentral describes it as "partial contains 5.8S ribosomal RNA, internal transcribed spacer 2, and large subunit ribosomal RNA". The stretch from base 1 to 122 matches the Rfam family "5.8S ribosomal RNA", at positions 35 to 154 of the family's 154-position model. The record is from RNAcentral.
GAUGAAGAACGCAGCGAAAUGCGAUACUUGGUGUGAAUUGCAGAAUCCCGUGAACCAUCGAGUCUUUGAACGCAAGUUGCGCCUGAAGCCAUUAGGCCGAGGGCACGCCUGCCUGGGCGUCACACGUCGUUGCCCCCCCCAUCUACUCCUUCGGGAUUGCGGGGGGCGGAUGAUGGCCUCCCGUGCGCCUCGCCGCGCGGUUGGCAUAAAUGCCAAGUCCUCGGCGAUGCACGCCACGACAAUCGGUGGUUGCGAAACCUCGGUUGCCCGUCGUGUGCGGUCGUCGCGCAUCGAGGGCUCGAAAAAAUUGCCGGGUUCCGGCUCGGCUUUCAACGCGACCCCAGGUCAGGCGGGGUUACCCGCUGAAUUUAAGCAUAUCAAUAAGCGGAGGA